UACGUAGGGGGCAAGCGUUGUCCGGAAUCAUUGGGCGUAAAGAGCGCGUAGGCGGCCCUGUAAGUCCGCUGUGAAAGUCAAGGGCUCAACCCUUGGAUGCCGGUGGAUACUGCAGGGCUAGAGUCCGGACGAGGCGAGUGGAAUUCCUGGUGUAGCGGUGAAAUGCGCAGAUAUCAGGAGGAACACCGGUGGCGAAGGCGGGUCUCUGGGCCGAUACUGACGCUGAGGAGCGAAAGCGUGGGGAGCGAACAGG
RNAcentral lists this ribosomal RNA (253 nucleotides) under uncultured bacterium. RNAcentral's name for it is "partial 16S ribosomal RNA". It matches the Rfam family "Bacterial small subunit ribosomal RNA", at positions 524 to 776 of the family's 1533-position model. The record is from RNAcentral.